Molecule: long non-coding RNA, 1089 nt
Organism: Gambusia affinis (western mosquitofish)
Lineage: Eukaryota; Metazoa; Chordata; Actinopteri; Cyprinodontiformes; Poeciliidae
Exons: 2
Source: RefSeq, a predicted model, not a curated record
AUGGACAGGAGUUGUUAUAAGGCUGUCCAAGCAAGUGAAUGCCUGUAACAGGAAACUGAAGAAGAUUGUUACAGAGUACAAUAAUCUGCAGUGGCCUCCACAAACUGGCAUCUUUCCAUCACAUUUAGAAUUUUGAGAAUUGUGUGAUGCCUCCUCCCAGCUGUACACAUUGUUUGAUGAAGAAAUUGAAGAUCAUGGUGUUGUUCCAAAGAACCUAAAAAGUCGAGCAAUAGAAGCCCUGCAUUUGAAGACUAGAGCAACUGAAGAAAAGCUUCUACUUAAGAGAGAGAUGAACACUGUCAUUCUUCACCUUCAUCAACAACAUGGACAUUUAAGUUCAGCUAUAAAUGAUACUGCAGAUCCUGGUUCAAAAGCUGUACUUCAUCAAAACAUUAUCAUGUUAGAAAAGAAAAUGUACAGUGCAAUGAACAUGUUCAAGAGGUUUAUCAGUUGGUGCCCCUCCUCCAAAUCAUCACCUACCAGAGUUUAACUCUUAUUCUCAAGCACUUAUGUCUCCAGAUCUACAUUACAUAGACUAUGAUGAAAGCAUUGACGAUGGAGAGGAUGAAGAGGAUGAUGACGACAGUGUUGACGAAGGAGAGAACAGCAUAGAUUGUGAAUCAUCUUCAUGAUUUAUGGCCACUUACUGUUCUAUGUGAAGAGCACAUAUUCCAGUAUAAAAAGUUCAUUGAUGAUUUUCAUAUAAGCUUUUUGUUCUAACAUCUCAGUUUAUUGUUUUUGAUAUUGUUGAGACAUAUCUGUUUUUUAAGUCAAGCUAUAUAUAAUCAAGGGCAUUUUAAUUUUACUCAUUACAGCUUUGUAGUCUUUUUCACAUUUAUUAAUGUUCUUGUUCAGUAUGACAUUGUUAAUGACUAAACUUUAUUUACAGUUUGAAUUUAACUCUUAAUCUUGAGAUGCUGCAUAAUCUGCUUUACAUAAUAUCUUUAAAUUUGAGCACAACAAUGAAAUAACUAAAACGUAGUGGACAAAAAUUUUGUGAUGUUCAUAUUUGAGAAAUAUUUGACUGUUAUCCAAGAAUUACAUUAUUUUGAAGGGCACUACUCUGUAUUAAAAAUUCAUUAAGAGCUA